This 668-nucleotide long non-coding RNA is filed under the name Vigna radiata. RNAcentral's name for it is "long non-coding RNA (VRAD_LNC005957)". The record is from RNAcentral. Lineage: Eukaryota; Viridiplantae; Streptophyta; Magnoliopsida; Fabales; Fabaceae.
AACACCUUCCUAACUCAAAUUAGCUAUCUCAACCUCACUUAACAACUUAACAUCAAUCAAACUCCAUUUUAUACCUUUCAACAUCAAUUCUAUGCAACUAACAACUUACACAAGUCUUGAUAAACUUAAUAACAACCCCCAAAAUACCACUAGUGAAAACCCCUAAAAUACUAAAAACCAUACAAGACACUUCCAAAAGAUGACCAACUAGUUCUACAUCAGAAUCUUGUUGUCAUAACACUCAAACAAAUCUUAAUCAACCCUUAGACCCCUGCCAAAACACAAUUUAACCAAAAUAACUCUUCACUUAACUUUUCACCUAUCUAGCCUAAAAACUACUUAUUUCUUCUGUUGAAAUGUAAACAAAGCUUUAUUCAAUUUGAUAGCUCCUACUUCACCCAAUUUAACAUCUUUAAAUUCAUCACACGCAAACUUUUCAUCAUAAUCACAUUGCACCUCAAUUAAAUCAAUUUUCACAUCAACAUAUAUUAUAUACAAUUAACUUAACAUACUAAAUUUCUUAAUCCAAUACAAUUUCACAAUUUAAUCAAUAAUUUACCAUACAAACAUUAAUUAGAACUUGUCUAUCAAACAAAUCAAGUAAAACUAGCUUCUCUUACCUUACACUGACGAUACAAAGUUCUACAAACACUCUGAAUACUUCUCGC